UGGCUCUUUGUUCUUCUCGUCCCAUCUUGCAUAGUCUAGUCUCACUAUUACAUGUUUUAACAUGAGGUAAAUAAGAUGGGGUUAGGAAAACACACUACUCAAAUCCUGACAUUUGUAGGUUGUACACAUCAGCCACAGUAGGCCUGGGCAACACAGGGACAAAGAACAGUGUUCCUCAGUUAAAGGCAAGUGCCCACCUGUCCCUGCGCUCUGAUGCAUGACCACAAAUGACAGACCCAAAAGGCAAAACUAGUUGCUGUUGAGAAUCAAGACUAGGAUUCUGACAGGACAUCCAGGUUUACAAUCUGGGCUUUCUUUUGGUUUGCCUGAUGUAGACUUUUAGCUUCAUACUAUGUGUUAUGUCUCUCACCAGUAAGCCGGUAUGUCUGGUGAACCACCUCUCACUUGAAUUGCUUUUUACAACGACGUUUUACACAAAUACUGAAAACUAGGCAAGAUUUGGUGACAUAUACCUGUAAUCCCAUUGUUAGGGAGGCUGAGACUGGAGUGCCAGCAGAAGCUUAAGGCCCCUUCCACUGAGUCUCUAUUACAAGAGCCACAAUAAACCCCUUGAAUGCAGUGUAACCAGCCAUGGUCUGAGGCGAGCAGUGGAGGAAGCAUGUGACACCUGAGUAUUAAUGGCUUCUGAAUGCUUAUCUCCUCAAACACGGUGUUCCAGGCUUCUGAAAUGUACACUGCAUGAUGCUUGCACACGUCCAGCAUCCGGACAACAGUACUGUGAACACAGAUCUCCCUACAUCACACGGUUCCACAGCACCUAUCAGUGUCCAGUGUGACCCCAGGCUCAGCUUCCUGAAGUUGGUGGCUGACGGGAAUUACAACCCUUUUUAUCUAACAUAUGAAUGCAGCCAUAUGGUCUCUCUGCUGAAAUAAUUUCCAGUUUUACCCAGAUUAUCACAACUGACAAGACUGGUAUGUUUCUCUGAGAAAUCGUCCAAUUAAAGUAGAAUUACAUCCUUGA
This is a long non-coding RNA of Grammomys surdaster, 982 nucleotides long. RefSeq lists it as uncharacterized. Lineage: Eukaryota; Metazoa; Chordata; Mammalia; Rodentia; Muridae. The record is from RefSeq and is a predicted model, not a curated record. The transcript is spliced from 2 exons.